GCCUUCGUUCCUUCCAUCUGCUAUGUAAGUAGUAUAACUCUGCAUCGUAUUGGAUGCGUUUGUGAUGAUUUGAGGAGUGGAUUUCGUUCUUUUAUGGGGAAAUCUCAAAUAGGUUUUGCUUAUUUUCUGAUGAUUGUGCUUCUGGCUUGGAAUUUCUGGGGAGAAGGCAUUUGAAGGCAGCAGAAGAAGUGAAAGGGUUCGAGCUGCCAUUUCAGAAAUGCUAUGAAUUGGAGAAUGGAGAAUCUUGAAAAUAUUUCUAUCAGAGAGUUUGAUGAGAGAGAGAGAGAGAGAGAGAGAGAGAGAGAGAGAGAGACAGAGAGAGAGAGAGAGAGAGAGAGAGAGAGAGAUGAGAUGGGGUUGCUGUUUUGCAUUUUCUUUCUCCUGGUUGAGCAUGUGCUUGGGCGGACGGUGUAUACCCAUGGUUUGAGUUUUGUUUGCUUUCAGAAAAAGAAUUUGGCAUUUUGAGUUUUGUUUGCUUUGAGAAAAAUAAUUUGGCAUUUUGGGUUUUGUUUUGGGGAGGAUUUUGAGGGUGCUUGUAUAAUAAAGGUGGGAUUUUUGUGAUACUGUGGAGUGGGAUUUCAAUUUUCUGCAUCUGGGUUUUGUUCUUUUGGGGAUCUUGAAUGGAACGUAAGUUUUACUUCCAUUGUUCUGUUUCUUAUUUUCUUUCUCCUGGUUGAACAUGUACUCGUGCGGAUGGCAUGUGUCCUUGCUUUGUUUGGUUGUGACUUGUGCUAGCUUGAAGCUAUUUCAGGGUAUGUUUUUUUUUUUUUUCCAUUAGCUUGUUAGUACACCCCACUGUCAAUUCACACAUCACUGUUAGCCACCCCCAUUAGGGAAUCGAUACCAAGACCUCAGUGUUGAAACGAGGUAUCUUUCACUCAGUCUACCACUUGAGCUAUGGAUCAGGUUGUGUGGAUGCAAUGUGGAAUUGAAUUAUAAUAUUCUAGUUACUCAAUUAGAGUAGAAGCAUGGAAGUGAUUGAAUCAUAAUUACCUCCCUUUGCAUCAUAUUGAGAGAUUGACCUCCGAAUCACAACGAAAUUCCUUUCAAACUGGAAGGAAUUUAAACCGCAAUUUGUGUGCUAGCUCCUCAUUAUGAAUUCUAAGAACCAUCAUCAUUUUUCGUUGCUUCCUCUUGGUAAAAAUAAAUUUUCGCAAUUCAGUUUAGAUAGGUGUCCAUUGCAGCCCAUGGCAUAGAGGAAUUGAAAUACAAGAUGUGGAAAUCAAACAAAGCAGACACCCUAGUCUGAAUGAAGCCUCUAUAAGGGAGAGAACUCCAUUUUGUACGCCUCCAGCAUGGAGAGAACUCAUUUUUGUAACUUAUAGUGAAUAUCAUUGAGCCUGUGUCUGUUAUUAAUAGUGAAUACAGAGCAGUUGUGUCCUAUUAAGCUGUCCAACUUAUAGCUGCCAAGUGAUUUAUACAAUAGAAUUUAGUAACUAUGAGUUGAGCAUUUGAUUAGGUUGAGGGCUCUUGUUAUUUGCAGGCAAUCUUUAGACCUCUCUAACAACCUCAUUCAUGAUAAUCGGAGGUUGAGACCUGUGUUAAGCUAUUUUGCGCUUGUGUAAGUACAGUAUGACAUGAACAUGCUGCUGGGUUCAGAAAAAUAACCCUUCACUCCAGGACUAUGUUAUCUUGUUUUAUUUGUUAUACCUAAGUAUUCGCUGGCAGCUCACAUGCUUAUUGUUAACAUCUAGCUCAAUUGCGUAUCGUGCUUCUCCUUUGUCUUUUGACCUGUGUAUCCUAUAUUCUUCUUUACCAGAUUAACUCAAGUUCCUUCUUUUCGGUGGUACCUUUUCCAGUUAAGAAUGUAUCAGACAGUUUAACAGGGAUUGAGAGCAAUACAGCAGCUAUUCAGCAAAUGCAAAGAGCACUACUAGCAGCAUUUGAUGAAAGAUUUGAUGGGGAGGUAUCAUCAUCAACUCUAUUUUAGAUUUGGAGCAGUCACAGGCCUCUGAGACCCUCGACAUGAUUUUGAAGGGGGCAGGCGGCACGGCAUUAGCUUUUUGCAAUACGUAGGAAACUGACCCGGUUGGCCCUGCCCCAAUGGAGCUUUGGAAUCUGCAGGCAGCACGGUUCCGAAAUGGAUCCUGCGGUUUGUUUCAGACCCUUGCACAGUUCCUGUUCUCAGGUGCCCGAAUCAUUGGAUGGAGAAAGCAUUGCAUUUUCAACCACAAAAGCUGGGAGUCUAAAACUGAAUUCCAUGAAUUCAUUAAAUAUUCAAACUUCAGCAGUCAAAGGAACAACACAGAAAGAGGGCGUUGAGAAAGGAAUGCUUGCAGCCAACUGAUACUUCUGAAAGGAAUGCCUGCAGCAGUGAUGGAAGAGAUCUGCCUGAGUGCUUGACUGAGGAAGAACUUCAAACAACACCAAAGAUGUUGCAUUUAAGUUAAUACAUGUAUUUACUUUUGUGGAUUUUCUGUUGAUGUUGCAUUUAAGACAGUUUGAAUUGCUGUUAUGUACUGUUUAAGCAUAGUAUGAUGACUGUUUGAGAUGUGUAUCAA
This is a long non-coding RNA of Magnolia sinica, 2501 nucleotides long. RefSeq lists it as uncharacterized. Lineage: Eukaryota; Viridiplantae; Streptophyta; Magnoliopsida; Magnoliales; Magnoliaceae. The record is from RefSeq and is a predicted model, not a curated record. The transcript is spliced from 2 exons.